CAGGGCCUCUACCGUCUGGAGCAUCCCGGUGUCGCUCGUGUUUUCAGUGGAGUUCGGGUCUCUCCGUCACAGUGGCAUGCUCGUCUUGGUCACCCGGCCACACCUAUUGUCCGUCAUAUUUUGCGUCGUCAUGAGCUUCCUAGUUUGUCUAGUCAUAAAGAUGUAGCAGUGUGUGAUGCUUGUCAGCAGGGGAAGAGUCAUCAACUUCCUUUUUCGGAGUCCAGUCGUGAGGUGAAACAUCCUUUAGAACUUGUGUUUUCAGAUGUAUGGGGUCCUGCUCAGACUUCUGUCAGUGGUCAUAAUUACUAUAUCAGUUUCGUUGAUGCUUAUAGUCGC
Molecule: ribosomal RNA, 336 nt
Filed under: Triticum aestivum (bread wheat)
Lineage: Eukaryota; Viridiplantae; Streptophyta; Magnoliopsida; Poales; Poaceae
Description: partial small subunit ribosomal RNA
Source: RNAcentral